AGAUCCAAAAGUUUCAGAGGCUGGAGAGCCUAAGGAUUUUUGAAUUAAUUGUCAAAGACAGAAAACAAGAUGCUAGAAAUGUAGACUUGAGAUUUCUUAGGCAUACAGAACAGUUCUGUGCAUGUUUACUCAGAGUAAUCUGCUGUAUCUAGAGGGGAGGACUUGCUUAUCAGCGUUGUCUGUGUGAAAGUUUCCCAGAGGAACUUACAAAUCUAAUGUAAAGGUCACUGGAGUACCAAGGUGACCAACAUGCUCCACAGCAAUGACAAGGCCACUCAGGAGUGACUGCACUAAUGGCUGUAUGCAUCUCACCAUUCCACAGUUAGACGACAGCCUCGACAGGAGCAUCAGCAAUAUCAGCUGGAAAAUCAAUAAUUGCAAUAAUCCAAUCUGGAAGUUACCAGAGCAUGGAGUACGUGGCCCAGUCACCUCUAUCCAGAAGGGGCCAAAGCUGGUGAACCAGCUAGAGGUGGAAAAAGGCACUCUUAGCGAUAGUUGUUACAUCUGUAUCCAAGGAGGUCAUCUUAAGGAGAAGACGCACCACUGCCUCCAUCAAAGCAGAUGGCAGAUA
Molecule: long non-coding RNA, 571 nt
Organism: Rhineura floridana
Lineage: Eukaryota; Metazoa; Chordata; Lepidosauria; Squamata; Rhineuridae
Exons: 3
Source: RefSeq, a predicted model, not a curated record